GCAAUCUCCAUGAAAUCAGUCCUUCUCUAGCAAUCAGCUUGGGAGCUCAUUUUGAGACAGCAACAAAGCAUAUGGCCAGGAGAGGACUGCAUGGCUGAUAUUCUACAAACUCUCAAUAACACAGCAUGUGAGGACGAGAAUAAGAAAGGGAUUUGCGGAGUGUUUUCGGUUUACUCUUUGUCUUUGUGCUGCAUGAGCUGCUAGAAUUGGUGGUUCCUGG
This 220-nucleotide long non-coding RNA is filed under the name Gallus gallus (chicken). The record is from RNAcentral. Lineage: Eukaryota; Metazoa; Chordata; Aves; Galliformes; Phasianidae.